Molecule: unclassified non-coding RNA, 746 nt
Filed under: Hevea brasiliensis (rubber tree)
Lineage: Eukaryota; Viridiplantae; Streptophyta; Magnoliopsida; Malpighiales; Euphorbiaceae
Source: RNAcentral
UAGUAGGACAUACUACCUUAAUGGAGGUUGCGACAACAGAGAAGGGAUGUCAAAGCUAAAUGCCAGAAUGGAGAAUAUUGAGGGUGGACAUGAAGUAAAUAGGAUAUUCUAUCUUUCUGUGCCACAAGAGGCACUCCUUGAUGUUGCAUCUUCUCUUGCUGACAAUGCCCAAACCCGAAGGGGCUGGAAUCGUAUAAUAAUUGAGAAGCCCUUUGGAUUUGAUGCACCAUCUUCUCAUCAAUUGACUAAGUCUCUUCUUUCUAAGUUUGAGGAGAAACAAUUAUACAGGAUAGAUCAUCUUUUAGGAAGAAACCUUAUUGAGAACCUCACAGUAUUAAGAUUUUCAAAUCUUGUUUUUGAGCCAUUGUGGAGCCGAACUUAUAUACGCAACGUACAGAUCAUUUUAUCAGAAGAUCUUAGUGUGCAGACUGGAAGGUAUUUUGAUGGGUAUGGGAUCAUUCGGGACAUAGUGCAUAGUCAUAUAUUUCAGACAAUAGCAUUACUUGCCAUGGAGCCACCUAUAAGUCUUGAUGGUGAAGAUAUUCGAAAUGAAAAAGUCAAGGUUUUAAGAUCAAUUUGCAGAUUGGAUCCUAGUGAUGUUAUCCUUGGGCAAUAUAAAGCUAUUUCUGGGGACAAGGUUGAUGUAAAGUUGAACGAUAUGACACCAACGUUUUUUGCUGCUGCAUUAUACAUUGACAAUGCACGCUGGGAUGGUGUGCCUUUUAUUGUCAAAACUGGCAUGGGAC